GAUGAAGAACGUAGCGAAAUGCGAUAAGUAAUGUGAAUUGCAGAAUUCAGUGAAUCAUCGAAUCUUUGAACGCACAUUGCGCCCGCCAGUAUUCUGGCGGGCAUGCCUGUUCGAGCGUCAUUACAACCCUCAGGCCCCCGGGCCUGGCGUUGGGGAUCGGCGGAGCCCCCCGUGGGCACACGCCGUCCCCCAAAUGCAGUGGCGGUCCCGCCGCAGCUUCCAUCGCGUAGUAGCUAACACCUCGCGACUGGAGAGCGGCGCGGCCACGCCGUAAAACACCCAACUUCUGAAUGUUGACCUCGAAUCAGGUAGGAAUACCCGCUGAACUUAAGCAUAUCAAUAAGCGGAGG
Molecule: unclassified non-coding RNA, 350 nt
Filed under: soil metagenome
Description: partial contains 5.8S ribosomal RNA, internal transcribed spacer 2, and large subunit ribosomal RNA
Rfam family: 5.8S ribosomal RNA (bases 1-120)
Source: RNAcentral